GAUGAACGCUAGCGGCAGGCCUAACACAUGCAAGUCGAGGGAUAAGCCCUUCGGGGUGGAAACCGGCGCACGGGUGCGUAACGCGUAUGCAACCUACCUUUCACAGGGGGAUAGCCCGAAGAAAUUUGGAUUAAUACCCCAUAAUAUUGUUGGAUGGCAUCAUCUGAUAAUUAAAGUUACGAUGGUGAAAGAUGGGCAUGCGUCCUAUUAGCUAGUUGGAGUGGUAACGGCACCCCAAGGCUACGAUAGGUAGGGGUCCUGAGAGGGAGAUCCCCCACACUGGUACUGAGACAGGGACCAGACUCCUACGGGAGGCAGCAGUGAGGAAUAUUGGUCAAUGGUCGAAAGACUGAACCAGCCAUGCCGCGUGCAGGACAGACGGCCCUAGAGGUUGUAAACUGCUUUUAUAUGGGAAGAAUAAGGAGUACGAGUACUUUGAUGACGUACCAUAUGAUAAGCUCGCA
Molecule: ribosomal RNA, 464 nt
Filed under: Capnocytophaga sp. oral taxon B29
Lineage: Bacteria; Pseudomonadati; Bacteroidota; Flavobacteriia; Flavobacteriales; Flavobacteriaceae
Description: bacterial SSU rRNA
Rfam family: Bacterial small subunit ribosomal RNA
Source: RNAcentral